Otolemur garnettii (small-eared galago) is the source of this 112-nucleotide non-coding RNA. Lineage: Eukaryota; Metazoa; Chordata; Mammalia; Primates; Galagidae. The record is from Rfam.
AUCCUUUUGUAGUUAGUAAGUCUGAUGAUGGGGCUUUCAAGGCUCUUGUGUGAGAUGUGCCUCCUUGAAACCUUGGUGUGGCAUGGACAAAAGCAAGACAUUUAUCAUGAAU